This 468-nucleotide ribosomal RNA is filed under the name uncultured bacterium. RNAcentral describes it as "partial 16S ribosomal RNA". It matches the Rfam family "Bacterial small subunit ribosomal RNA", at positions 28 to 507 of the family's 1533-position model. The record is from RNAcentral.
GACGAACGCUGGCGGCGGGCUUAACACAUGCAAGUCGAACGGAAGGGCCCAGCUUUUGUGGUGUGCUCGGGUGGCGAAAGGGGGAGUAACACGGGAGUAACCUGCCCUUGAGUUUGGGAUAACUUCAGGAAACUGGGGCUAAUACCGGAGAGGAGCACCUGCUGCAGGGGGGGGGUUGGAAAGUUUCGGCGGGUGGGGCUGGACUUGCGGCAUAUCAGGUUGUUGGGGGGGUAGUGGGUUACCAAGGCUUUGGGGGGUAGCGGGCCGGCACAGGGGACCGGCGACACUGGGACUGCUACACCGCCCAGAAGCCUACGGGAGGCAGAAGUGAGGAAUAUUGGCCAAUGGGAGGAAGCCUGAGUGAGCAACGCAGGGUGCGGGAGGACUGACCUCGUUUUGUAAGGCGAGUUAGACAGUGACGAAGCUAGACUGACGGUACCUGGUAAAGAAGCACCGGCUAACUACGUG